GUGAGCCUUUUGAGUUGGAACUGCAGAGGAGGAGGGAAUUCUCGGACUGCUCGUGAUCUUGUGAGCUUGGUGCAGACUCAUUCCCCCAGUAUUGUUUUCCUGUGUGAAACUAGGCAGUCCAAGGAUAGAAUGAAAAGAUAUAUGCCUCGUCUAGGGUUAAGAGGCUUUGAUGCAGUUGAUAGUGUUGGUUUGAGUGGAGGUCUUGCUCUCUAUUGGCAUGAGUCAUUG
Molecule: ribosomal RNA, 228 nt
Filed under: Triticum aestivum (bread wheat)
Lineage: Eukaryota; Viridiplantae; Streptophyta; Magnoliopsida; Poales; Poaceae
Description: partial small subunit ribosomal RNA
Source: RNAcentral